This 253-nucleotide ribosomal RNA is filed under the name uncultured bacterium. RNAcentral describes it as "partial 16S ribosomal RNA". It matches the Rfam family "Bacterial small subunit ribosomal RNA", at positions 524 to 776 of the family's 1533-position model. The record is from RNAcentral.
UACAGAGGUGACAAACGUUGUCCGGAAUUACUGGGCGUAAAGGGCGCGUAGGCGGCCUGCUAAGUCGGAUGUGAAAUCCCUCGGCUCAACCGAGGAACUGCAUCCGAUACUGGCGGGCUUGAAUCCGGGAGAGGGAUGUGGAAUUCCAGGUGUAGCGGUGAAAUGCGUAGAUAUCUGGAGGAACACCGGUGGCGAAGGCGGCAUCCUGGACCGGCAUUGACGCUGAGACGCGAAAGCGUGGGGAGCAAACAGG